CAUUCACACGCGCCGGCGUGUUCAUUCCUGAGCGCGCGCAGUGCAAUGAUCCCUGGAAUGCAGCUCACAGUGUUAGCGCUGGUGGGCCUCGUCCUUCAGCUUCCAUGCAGUGCCUCUUUAUGGGCGCCCCUUUUUCUUUUGCGCACUGCACCCCUUUCACAUGUACACACCCGUUAUGAGUCCGCCUGAACAGGGCAUUACCCGCUGCCUUUCUUCAAGGGAGGCGGUAUGAUUUUCUGUUGCUGGGCAGAGCGGUGAGUUUUUUCGCGGUGUCGAUGAAGGGAGAGAUGAUGGGAAGAAGACAAGGACUGGAAUGACCUUGAAAAGCCCCAUCAUUGGAAUCCGGAACUCCUUGUGCUCGUUGCCCGCACUCACCCACACGCGCACGCUCCCUUUUUCGUCCCCUCCAGAGACGCAAGGCUCGCCUAACCCUCCUCCCACGUGGAUCUCUUUCAGGCCCCGCCCACCGCGCGCGCAUAUGCCUCGUCUGGGAGGCGUAGCAUCUAACCGCCACGUCGUGAGAAGAACUACCACGUCCUACGCCAAAAGGAAUACGCCAAAUGUCCGGAGGUGUUCCCCAGACAUUCAUGAGCAUACGCACCGCAGCUCCCCCCCUCCUCCCACCUCUCCACCCCUUCCAUGAUCGGUUGAUACCCUCAAAACUUUCUCGUCCUCCCUCCUCCUGUUUUGGGAGACAUGUCUUUGUACGUUGACCCUCUCGAACACCUCUUUUACUCUCCUCCCUUCCUCAUCUCUGUAGAAAAGCCUCCAACGUAAACGUUUUAUAGUCGCCGGUUGUUUUUGUCCCGGGACUUUGCUUCGUUCCGCCGCUUCUGCGUGGCUGUCGAGUACGUCGUAUACACGGCUGGCGCUCUUUGGGGCGUGUGGAGUGAUUUCUUCACUCUACACUCGCGUGAUGUCCUGCAUCAGCGGUUGUGGUAGUGAUUCUCGAUACCUCUUUGCGUGCUCCCUCUGACGUGGCGGGGCACGAACAUUCAACGGAGAGCUACUGUGUGCAUGCUCUGUUUCCAUCCCACUCACCCAGCCAUCACCACUCCUCAACCCUCAUCCGCCCCUCUUUCCACCCUCGCUGGCUUUUUGCCGGCCGGCAACGUUGCAUCCCGUCGUUCAAG
RNAcentral lists this unclassified non-coding RNA (1133 nucleotides) under Leishmania donovani. RNAcentral describes it as "gene:unknown". The record is from RNAcentral. Lineage: Eukaryota; Euglenozoa; Kinetoplastea; Trypanosomatida; Trypanosomatidae.